UCCCUCUCUCUGUCCCCUUCUCCGUCUCUCUGUCUCUGUCUCUCCGACUUCCUCGGUCUCUCCCCUCCUCUCCUCCCCCACCCCUAGUGCCCCCAGAACAUGCGCCAAGAGCUAGGGCUGAGGCCGUGACCUCGUAAUAUUGGGUCCUCUCGCUGCAUGGCUGUGACUCCCAACAGGGAACCUCUCCCCAGUCCGGUCACAAAACACCCACCGGGCAGAGUACGCGCGCCCGAAUUCUCCCUCCCGUUGGGAAAUCCUUCUUACCCAACCUACAUGCCUUGUCCUGCAGCUUCAGCGUAUUCCAUGGUCUGCUUUCCAUUUUCAGUCACUUCUCUACUUAAGACUCUGAUCGAUGGAAAGUGGUCCCUUAGCAAACACUCAGUUCUGCGUCUGGACCCCUCGCUCCUUCUCUGCCGCGGAGGAGCCACGGGGUCUGGUGCUCGGGGAUCCUGGGAGAAGCCCUCCGCUCGGCCGCCACGCAGCUGCUGCCGGCCGGACCCGGGCGCGGCGUCCUCUCCCCCCUCACUUCACGUCAUUACCAAGAGAUGAUGCAGAUCUGGAAGCAGGAGCCCUUUGGCUCUGGAAAAAUUAUGUGUGACACUUUACAUGUGGAUCAGCUCGCUGCAGACCAUGGGGCCCCGGCUCCCCCGGGACUGACCAGCUAGAGCGCCCAGGCAGCCCGCCCACCAGUCCCGGGGCCCCAGGCUGCUGGUAAAGGUGCGGGCGGUGGACGGGCACCCCUAGAAGGCGAGAAGAUGGGAAGGUGCUUAGCGGCCUCUCUGCGGGAGUGGAGCUGCCCCUGACCAUGGCCGAGAGGACCGACAGCUCCUGGUUCAGCCCACGCAGCUGUCACAUUCCUGGUGACUGUCAGCCCUUCCACUGUCAGCCGGGGCCCUUGGGGUCCCUGCGAAUGUCCCCGUUCUCUGCUCACGUCUGACUCAUAUCCACGUGCGCAUUCAACGUGUCCACACGGAUGGGGCCUCAAAGUCAAGGCAAACUUAGCCUCUUCCUAUUUUAACCUGCGUCUGCCUCUGUCCUUCCAUGCCCAGACCGGAGGCUCAGAGUCAUCCUCACCCCCACUUCCUGAUGCAUCCUUAAUCCAGCGCUGCCUGUUCCGACCGACCCGGGAAAGGCAGAGGGGGAUAGAGUCUCGGAGACACAGGGAAGGACAUCGCGGGACCACAGAGGCCGCGUCCGGAGGCAGCCCUGAGGCAGUAACAUCCCGAGGCAGCAGGAGCUGGACGAGGCAAGAAAGACCCUCCCCUCGAGCCUUCAGAGGGAGCACGGCUUUGCUGACACCCUGAGUGCAGACUCUGGCCUCCAGAACUGUGCAGGAAUAAACUGCUGUAGCUUUAAGCUCCCCAGGUUGUGGUAACGCGUAUGGCAGCACGAGGCACCGGAUGCGAUCAGCUUAGGACCCGGGGAAUGGCGUGAUGAUUGUAAUAUUUGCCACCAUUUGCUGAGAUGAAUGUACUUGAACUCAACAAGGAGGGAAGUGCUGCUGUCCCAUUUCCUGGAUGAGGAAGCUGAGGCCCAGCCAGUCUGCACCACCUUGAAAGCCCUCCUCCAGGAAGAGGGUGCCCGGCCUGAGUCCAGAGGCAGCUGCUUGCGAUCUCCUGCUCACAUCUGUGGGCUCCAGCGAUCGCCAGAUGUUCACUCCAGCUUGCCCUGCAAGCCAGACGGCCCUGUGGAGACCCACGGCGUGGGGCGCUGCUCUCUGACUUCGGGUCCAGGAGCCAAGCUCUGCAGCCCAGCCCUGGGGCCCGCGACCCUGGGCCAGCGGCUCGGGCAGCUGCAGGGAAGGAUGGGCCUUCUCCUUCCUGUCUGUCCUACCAGCCUUUCCUCACCUGUCCUGACCCCAGCUGCUUGAGAUGGACAGACGGACAGCUGACUCCCAGCCUCCCCUGUUCGGGCAUCUUCUUUGCCGCUCUCAGUGGCUACCCUGCACAGAAGCAAAGAUAAAAUUGGUUUUAUUUAUUUA
Mustela lutreola (European mink) is the source of this 1981-nucleotide long non-coding RNA. RefSeq lists it as uncharacterized. The transcript has 4 exons. Lineage: Eukaryota; Metazoa; Chordata; Mammalia; Carnivora; Mustelidae. The record is from RefSeq and is a predicted model, not a curated record.